This 1086-nucleotide long non-coding RNA is filed under the name Androctonus crassicauda. Lineage: Eukaryota; Metazoa; Arthropoda; Arachnida; Scorpiones; Buthidae. The record is from RNAcentral.
GGCAUGUUUCGCGGCAUUACUUAUAGUUAUUAUAGAAUGGAAAGUGCCGCUAGCUGUUGAGAAAAUAAUUACUUUCACUUAAUAAAUUAUUAAAGUUGUACCUGGCGUUACUCAGGAAUUUCUGGCGCAUCAUUUGUAGAAGAACAUUAGUUUCUGGUUUGCAAGAUUUUUGAUGAGCUACAAAUGUUUUAUAUCUACAAAUGGUAUUCUACUUGAAAGCAAAGCUAAUAAAAAACAUUCGGGUGCGAUCACGAUAUCAUAAUGACGUCUAUAUCAUGAUAUUUGUGAUCUCACGCAUUGAUGUUUUAUGAAGUCAUCCGUUACUAUGUCAUACGUCUAAACAUUUGUUACUCAAUGCUACGUCAUAAUGACGUUCUGGAACUUCAUCCGUUGUUAUAUUGUACAACAGAAUUUUUUUUUAUAUUACUAAAUGCACUUCAUAAUAACGCUACUCGUUGUGUUUCGUUUAUUACGUUAUUCAUUGCAAAGUUGCGAUUACAUUACGCUUGUGAGAUUAUGACGUCAUAUAGAUUUCAAACUUCGCAACAACAGCAGUCUAAAGGAUUUAAACACGCAUUUUAAAUUAAAGUCCUAAUAUGCUACAUCGUCUAUCAUUUACCAUUGCCGUUAACAUAGUGCCUCCAGUAAAGGAGCACAUUAUUAGUUUUCCGAAAUAUACAAGUCACUGUUCCCGACAUGAAAAUUCACACAGAGUGUAUCUCAAUGCUGAUUUAACUACGCGAAAAAUGUAGGAGUUGUAUCGUCAGAAUUGUGACGCAGAAGAUGCACCAUUAUACCCUAAAGACCGUGUCAUCGCUGAACUGAUCAAAAAAGACAUCGUAUCCUUAUUUCAAUUCAUUCCAUCCAUUUACAAGUUUUUCAACAACUUUCCAACAGCAACUCUCCGCAAGCCAACAACAAACAAACCGAUGAUGACAUUGAUUACAAGUAAUGAUUACCAUUAUUGUUAUUGGCUGUGGUUGUUAUUUUAUGAAUAAAAAUAAAAACAUUGAAAAAAAUCAAUGAUAUUGUAUUCUAUUGAUUUAUGUCAUCGCAGGGAAACAACUUUUGAUGCAAUGGCCUGUA